GAUGAAGAACGCAGUGAAAUGCGAUAAGUAAUGUGAAUUGCAGAAUUCAGUGAAUCAUCGAAUCUUUGAACGCACCUUGCGCUCCUUGGUAUUCCGAGGAGCAUGCCUGUUUGAGUGUCAUUAAAUUCUCAACCUCACCAGUUUUGUAACGAGACAGGUGAAGGCUUGGAUGUGGGGGUUUUGCAGGCUGCCUCAGUGCUGGUCUGCUCUCCUGAAAUGCAUUAGCGAGCUCAUAUUGAGCUUCCGUCUAUUGGUGUGAUAAUUAUCUACGCCGUGGAUUGGACUCAUGCUUGCUUCUAACCGUCCGCAAGGACAAUUUACUUGACCAAUUUGACCUCAAAUCAGCUAGGACUACCCGCUGAACUUAAGCAUAUCAAUAAGCGGAGGA
Molecule: unclassified non-coding RNA, 388 nt
Filed under: soil metagenome
Description: partial contains 5.8S ribosomal RNA, internal transcribed spacer 2, and large subunit ribosomal RNA
Rfam family: 5.8S ribosomal RNA (bases 1-120)
Source: RNAcentral